GCUAACUCCGUGCCAGCAGCCGCGGUAAUACGGAGGGUGCGAGCGUUAAUCGGAAUUACUGGGCGUAAAGCGCAUGCAGGCGGUCUGUUAAGCAAGAUGUGAAAGCCCGGGGCUCAACCUCGGAACAGCAUUUUGAACUGGCAGACUAGAGUCUUGUAGAGGGGGGUAGAAUUUCAGGUGUAGCGGUGAAAUGCGUAGAGAUCUGAAGGAAUACCGGUGGCGAAGGCGGCCCCCUGGACAAAGACUGACGCUCAGAUGCGAAAGCGUGGGGAGCAAACAGGAUUAGAUACCCCGGUAGUC
Molecule: ribosomal RNA, 300 nt
Filed under: uncultured Photobacterium sp.
Lineage: Bacteria; Pseudomonadati; Pseudomonadota; Gammaproteobacteria; Vibrionales; Vibrionaceae
Description: bacterial SSU rRNA
Rfam family: Bacterial small subunit ribosomal RNA
Source: RNAcentral